GGACCCGCACAAGUAGUGGAGCAUGUGGUUUAAUUCGAAGAUACGCGCAGAACCUUACCAACACUUGACAUGUUCGUCGCGACUCUAAGAGAUUAGAGUUUUCGGUUCGGCCGGACGAAACACAGGUGCUGCAUGGCUGUCGUCAGCUCGUGUCGUGAGAUGUUGGGUUAAGUCCCGCAACGAGCGCAACCCUCACUUUUAGUUGCCAUCAUUAAGUUGGGCACUCUGAAAGAACUGCCAGUGAUAAGCUGGAGGAAGGUGGGGAUGACGUCAAGUCCUCAUGGCCCUUAUGGGCUGGGCUACACACGUGCUACAAUGGCGGCGACAGAGGGUUGCGAGCUCGCGAGAGCAAGCUAAUCCCAAAAAGCCGUCUCAGUUCGGAUUGUUCUCUGCAACUCGAGAGCAUGAAGGUGGAAUC
RNAcentral lists this ribosomal RNA (418 nucleotides) under uncultured bacterium. RNAcentral's name for it is "bacterial SSU rRNA". It matches the Rfam family "Bacterial small subunit ribosomal RNA", at positions 917 to 1333 of the family's 1533-position model. The record is from RNAcentral.